This 422-nucleotide ribosomal RNA is filed under the name uncultured prokaryote. Its description in RNAcentral is "bacterial SSU rRNA". It matches the Rfam family "Bacterial small subunit ribosomal RNA", at positions 355 to 774 of the family's 1533-position model. The record is from RNAcentral.
UGAGGAAUAUUGGUCAAUGGGCGCAAGCCUGAACCAGCCAUCCCGCGUGCAGGAAGACGGCCCUAUGGGUUGUAAACUGCUUUUCCAGGGGGAGAAUUUUUCUGUCGUGACAGGAAUUGACGGUACCCUGGGAAUAAGCAUCGGCUAACUCCGUGCCAGCAGCCGCGGUAAUACGGAGGAUGCGAGCGUUAUCCGGAUUUAUUGGGUUUAAAGGGUGCGUAGGCGGAUAGAUAAGUCAGUGGUGAAAACCUGCAGCUUAACUGUAGACUUGCCGUUGAUACUGUCAGUCUUGAGUAUGGUCAAGGUAGGCGGAAUGUGUAAUGUAGCGGUGAAAUGCUUAGAUAUUACACAGAACGCCGAUUGCGAAGGCAGCUUACUAAUCCAUGACUGACGCUGAGGCACGAAAGCGUGGGGAUCAAACA